RNAcentral lists this ribosomal RNA (292 nucleotides) under uncultured bacterium. Its description in RNAcentral is "partial 16S ribosomal RNA". The record is from RNAcentral.
GGACUACUGGGGUUUCUAAUCCUGUUUGCUCCCCGCACUUUCGCGCCUCAGCGUCAGUCAUUGGCUAGAAGUCCGCCUUCGCCACCGGUGUUCUUCCUGAUAUCUACAGAUUUCACCCCUACACCAGGAAUUCCGACUCCCCCUCCAUGACUCUAGUCCCACAGUUUCUAACGCAAUUCCGGAGUUAAGCUCCGGGAUUUCACGCCAGACUUGCAGAACCGCCUACGCGCCCUUUACGCCCAAUAAUUCCGAACAACGCUCGCCCCUUACGUGUUACCGCGGCUGCUGGCAC